ACUGCCAUAAUAUUCAUUAGAAAAGAAAAUGGAGCAUCCAUUUUCCAUUAGCCUUAUUUCAUAAUCUUAUUUUUACAACAAAGGUGUAGAAAUAAUAUUUCUAAUGAUCUUUGGUAUGUAAUAACGGUCUGUUAUUUCUAAAGUUUUGUUCGAAGGUAAAUCAAGCAUACAGAUUUCCACAGCCCCUGCGCUAAUGGAGUCUCCACU
This 207-nucleotide long non-coding RNA is filed under the name Elaeis guineensis (African oil palm). RNAcentral describes it as "long non-coding RNA (EGUI_LNC048090)". The record is from RNAcentral. Lineage: Eukaryota; Viridiplantae; Streptophyta; Magnoliopsida; Arecales; Arecaceae.